AUUGAACGCUGGCGGCAGGCCUAACACAUGCAAGUCGAGCGGAUGAAGGGAGCUUGCUCCUGGAUUCAGCGGCGGACGGGUGAGUAAUGCCUAGGAAUCUGCCUGGUAGUGGGGGAUAACGUCCGGAAACGGGCGCUAAUACCGCAUACGUCCUGAUGGAGAAAUUGGGGGAUCUUCGGACCUCACGCUAUCAGAUGAGCCUAGGUCGGAUUAGCUAGUUGGUGGGGUAAAGGCCUACCAAGGCGACGAUCCGUAACUGGUCUGAGAGGAUGAUCAGUCACACUGGAACUGAGACACGGUCCAGACUCCUACGGGAGGCAGCAGUGGGGAAUAUUGGACAAUGGGCGAAAGCCUGAUCCAGCCAUGCCGCGUGUGUGAAGAAGGUCUUCGGAUUGUAAAGCACUUUAAGUUGGGAGGAAGGGCAGUAAGUUAAUACCUUGCUGUUUUGACGUUACCAACAGAAUAAGCACUGGCUAACUUCGUG
RNAcentral lists this ribosomal RNA (484 nucleotides) under uncultured bacterium. RNAcentral describes it as "partial 16S ribosomal RNA". It matches the Rfam family "Bacterial small subunit ribosomal RNA", at positions 30 to 507 of the family's 1533-position model. The record is from RNAcentral.